AUUUUAAUAGCUUAAAUUUUAAGAGUUUUAUAUUGAAGAUAUAAAGGUGAUAUUUUUCUUAAAAUA
This 66-nucleotide transfer RNA is filed under the name Eurhadina exclamationis. RNAcentral describes it as "tRNA-Phe". Lineage: Eukaryota; Metazoa; Arthropoda; Insecta; Hemiptera; Cicadellidae. The record is from RNAcentral.